CCUACGGGUGGCAGCAGUGGGGAAUAUUGGGCAAUGGGCGCAAGCCUGACCCAGCAACGCCGCGUGAAGGAAGAAGGCUUUCGGGUUGUAAACUUCUUUUCUCAGGGACGAAGCAAGUGACGGUACCUGAGGAAUAAGCCACGGCUAACUACGUGCCAGCAGCCGCGGUAAUACGUAGGUGGCAAGCGUUAUCCGGAUUUACUGGGUGUAAAGGGCGUGUAGGCGGGGAGGCAAGUCAGAUGUGAAAACCACGGGCUCAACCUGUGGCCUGCAUUUGAAACUGUUUUUCUUGAGUGCUGGAGAGGCAAUCGGAAUUCCGUGUGUAGCGGUGAAAUGCGUAGAUAUACGGAGGAACACCAGUGGCGAAGGCGGAUUGCUGGACAGUAACUGACGCUGAGGCGCGAAAGCGUGGGGAGCAAACAGGAUUAGAUACCCCAGUAGUC
This 443-nucleotide ribosomal RNA is filed under the name uncultured bacterium. RNAcentral's name for it is "partial 16S ribosomal RNA". It matches the Rfam family "Bacterial small subunit ribosomal RNA", at positions 338 to 795 of the family's 1533-position model. The record is from RNAcentral.